This 229-nucleotide ribosomal RNA is filed under the name uncultured bacterium. RNAcentral describes it as "partial 16S ribosomal RNA". It matches the Rfam family "Bacterial small subunit ribosomal RNA", at positions 568 to 796 of the family's 1533-position model. The record is from RNAcentral.
UGCGCAGGCGGACCGAUAAGUCAGUGGUGAAAUCCUACAGCUCAACUGUAGAACUGCCAUUGAUACUGUCGAUCUUGAGUAUAGUUGAAGUGGGCGGAAUGUAUCAUGUAGCGGUGAAAUGCAUAGAUAUGAUACAGAACUCCGAUAGCGAAGGCAGCUCACUAACCUAUAACUGACGCUCAGGCACGAAAGCGUGGGGAGCGAACAGGAUUAGAUACCCUGGUAGUCC